CGAUCAGGCAAGUCGCGUACUUUAAAGCCGAGCUCGAAACAUGUUUACUCGCCAAUAUCCCAGCACUGACAUUUAUAUACUACAACUACAUACAAUGUAUUUCGUACUCUGCUUAAACAAUGUGCGCUUUUUGCGACUGGCUUAUCUUUGAAAGGGAGAGAGCCCACUGCCAUGCCGGUCCCCCCUUUAAUGCUUAUGAGCUUAGACCCAAUUUUGAAUGUUAUCUCAAUGUAGCCACUGCGCCAGCACUUGGGAGCAGAGCACAUCCGAUGACGAAGCCCAUGGGGGAUCCAACUGGGAAAAACGUGAUGUGCAUGGCUAAUGAUGCGGUUCGAACCCAUAUUUAAUUGCAUUUUGACGGCUGUACAUCAACACAAUGGAUAAGUCAAUUAAAGGCCACAACCGGAAUCGCAAAAAACUUGGUGGGCAAAUGCGUUGCACUUCUGAUGCAUACAAUUGAGCGGAGAAGAGGCCAAGGCUCGUACCCCUAUCCCUAUAUGGUAGGGUUGGUUAUCCCAGAGAUGCGAUGUGCAUAGUCCCAAUUCGAAUUCGUUUGUUACACAUUUUAUUGCUGAUAUUUUUGUUUAACUAAAUACAACAUUUCUCUUUGCCUUA
Drosophila miranda is the source of this 615-nucleotide long non-coding RNA. RefSeq lists it as uncharacterized. The record is from RefSeq and is a predicted model, not a curated record. NCBI's taxonomy places the organism in Eukaryota, Metazoa, Arthropoda, Insecta, Diptera, Drosophilidae. The transcript is spliced from 2 exons.